GUCUACGGCCAUGCCACCCUGAACACGCCCGAUCCCGUCAGCUCUCAGAAGCUAAGCAGGGUCGGGUUAGUACUUAGAUGGGAGACCACCUAGCAAGACCAGGUGCUGUAGGUG
Molecule: ribosomal RNA, 114 nt
Filed under: Pteropus alecto (black flying fox)
Lineage: Eukaryota; Metazoa; Chordata; Mammalia; Chiroptera; Pteropodidae
Source: RNAcentral